This 292-nucleotide ribosomal RNA is filed under the name uncultured bacterium. RNAcentral's name for it is "partial 16S ribosomal RNA". It matches the Rfam family "Bacterial small subunit ribosomal RNA", at positions 505 to 796 of the family's 1533-position model. The record is from RNAcentral.
GUGUCAGCAGCCGCGGUAAUACGAAGGUGGCAAGCGUUACUCGGAAUUACUAGGCGUAAAGGGCAGGUAGGUGGUUUGGUUAGUCUGUUGUGAAAGGUCCCGGCUUAACUGGGAGAGGUCAACGGAUACUGCCGAACUUGAGUAUAGGGGAGGUUACUGGAAUUCCCGGUGUAGCGGUGAAAUGCGCAGAGAUCGGGAGGAACACCAAUGGCGAAAGCAGGUAACUGGACUAUUACUGACACUCAGCUGCGAAAGCUAGGGGAGCAAACAGGAUUAGAUACCCCGGUAGUCC